CCCUCCAUCGCCUCUGGAGUUCACGUGUCCCUGCUCUUAUCAGUGCUACCAUCGGCCACAAAUACAGCUCGGGUAUCCACUAAAACUCCAAGAACACAGGUAGAAUUCUUUAAAAGCUUAAUUUACGAGAACAGGAUUAAGGAAUAUCCGACAGGUGCAGUGGUAGCCUAUGGAGGCGGCUUGUCUUCUACUAGUGCUUGCUAUGCCGCGGAAAGGCCCAGAAUGUACUUUCUGCGGGAAGGAACGUUGAUCAACAUAAAACCCUCACCUACCGAUUGUAAGUUAGGAGUGCAUAAAAGGAGUGCUUCACACGGACCGUAGAUGCAACGGUGUCUGCAUAAAACAGUACAUCAGUGUCAAUGACAGUGAGGCCAUUUUUCGAUGUCUGGUCGUUUCCAGCAGCCAACCAGGAUUCUGAUAGUAACAGCAGUGCAAGUGUAACAAAAAUGAGGUUACAGAACAGGGCAGACGGUUAUCAAGUGUCUCCGCCAACGAUUGCAGCAUGUGCAGCAAAACCUGCUCGUUCCUGUCGGCGAUGAUGUCAUCUUCUGUUUCUGCAAACACGUGCGCGGGAGGCGUCCUGUAUGAUCUCCCCCAAAGCUGGAGGCCUCUCCGCUCAUGCCGAUGACUGGUAGCAUUGGUCCUAGUGUUCAACUAUAACUGAUACCUCAUCAAGUUUCGGUAGAGAAGAUUCCAGCAGCUUUUGGCAGUCAAAAUGUCACUAGAGGAGCUGAAAAACUGCCGAAAGAAGAGGGCAAAAGUGACUGCAGCACCCUGUGCCGAAGACUAUGUGAAGCAAAGUCAAAAAGGAGGCACCUAGCUAAAGGGUCCUCGAGAGCAAAGAAAAACGUGAGGAUCCCAUAAAGGAAUCUGUGCAGCAGACAUCACUGUGUGAUGCACACAAGUGACGCAGCAAGACGCAAAAGGAGUGCACAAUGGGCGUAGCAUUAUCAGUGGCAAACGAGAGCUCACGACAACUCACCACACUAUGUCAUGUCGGCAGACUGGUAGCCGGCAGCUCCUCUAGGGUCAUGCAGCUCCACAUAUGGCUCAGGACGUUUUUAUAAAUUGAAUUGUGCAGUGCUGUUCAAUUAAAAUAUUUUACAUAGUUG
Ornithodoros turicata is the source of this 1112-nucleotide long non-coding RNA. RefSeq lists it as uncharacterized. NCBI's taxonomy places the organism in Eukaryota, Metazoa, Arthropoda, Arachnida, Ixodida, Argasidae. The record is from RefSeq and is a predicted model, not a curated record. The transcript has 3 exons.